RNAcentral lists this ribosomal RNA (2893 nucleotides) under Abiotrophia defectiva. Its description in RNAcentral is "23S ribosomal RNA". It matches the Rfam family "Bacterial large subunit ribosomal RNA". The record is from RNAcentral. Lineage: Bacteria; Bacillati; Bacillota; Bacilli; Lactobacillales; Aerococcaceae.
UGGUUAAGAAACAAAGGGCGCACGGUGAAUGCCUUGGCACUAGGAGCCGAAGAAGGACGUGACGAACGACGAAAUGCUUUGGGGAGCUGUAAGUGAGCUAAGAUCCAGAGAUAUCCGAAUGGGGGAACCCGGCUAGCGUAAUGGCUAGUCACACCUAAGGGUGAGGUAGACGCAGAGAACUGAAACAUCUAAGUACCUGCAGGAAGAGAAAGAAAAAUCGAUUCCCUGAGUAGCGGCGAGCGAAACGGGAAGAGCCCAAACCAGUGUGCAUGCACACUGGGGUUGUAGGACUCUAACGUGGACUCAAAUGAGUUAGUAGAAGCUGGUGGGAAACAGCGCCAAAGAGGGUGAGAGCCCCGUAUGCGAAAACUGAUUUGUACCUAAGAGUAUCCUGAGUACGGCGGAACACGUGGAAUUCCGUCGGAAUCCGCCAGGACCAUCUGGCAAGGCUAAAUACUCCCUAGUGACCGAUAGUGAACCAGUACCGUGAGGGAAAGGUGAAAAGCACCCCGGGAGGGGAGUGAAAGAGUACCUGAAACCGUGUGCUUACAAGUAGUCAGAGCCCGUUAAGGGGUGAUGGCGUACCUUUUGUAGAAUGGACCGGCGAGUGACGAUAGUUGGCGAGGUUAAGUUGAAGAAACGGAGCCGUAGCGAAAGCGAGUCUGAAUAGGGCGAAAGUCAGGUGUCGUCGACCCGAAACCAAGUGACCUACCCAUGUGCAGGUUGAAGGUGCGGUAAGACGCACUGGAGGACCGAACCAGGACACGUUGAAAAGUGUUUGGAUGACGUGUGGGUAGCGGAGAAAUUCCAAUCGAACUUGGAGAUAGCUGGUUCUCUCCGAAAUAGCUUUAGGGCUAGCCUCAGAGUAAGAGUCAUGGAGGUAGAGCACUGUUUGGACUAGGGGGGCUCACGCUUUACCGAAUCCAGAUAAACUCCGAAUGCCAAGGACUCAUCUCUGGGAGUCAGACUGCGAGUGAUAAGAUCCGUAGUCGAAAGGGAAACAGCCCAGACCACCAGCUAAGGUCCCAAAGUAACUGUUAAGUGGAAAAGGAUGUGGAGUUGCAUAGACAACUAGGAUGUUGGCUUAGAAGCAGCCACCAUUCAAAGAGUGCGUAAUAGCUCACUAGUCGAGUGACUCCGCGCCGAAAAUGUACCGGGGCUAAACAGUACACCGAAGCUGUGGAUUCAAUUUUAAAAUUGAGUGGUAGGAGAGCGUUCUAAGGGCGGUGAAGGCAUACCGAAAGGAGUGUUGGAGCGCUUAGAAGUGAGAAUGCCGGUAUGAGUAGCGAAAGACGGGUGAGAAUCCCGUCCACCGAUAGACUAAGGUUUCCUGGGGAAGGCUCGUCCGCCCAGGGUUAGUCGGGACCUAAGCCGAGGCCGACAGGCGUAGGCGAUGGACAACAGGUAGAGAUUCCUGUACUUGUUAACAAUGUUUGAGCGAUGGAGGGACGCAGGAGGCGACGCCACGCAGACGGAUGGAAGUGUCUGUAGAAGCACGAAGUGGUGGUAUGAGUCAAAUGCUUAUACCUAUAACCGUGACGUGUGACCUGGAGCGAAAUUUAAGUAGCGAAGGUGGCUAAUCAAACUGCCGAGAAAAGCUUCUAGUGAGUUGUUAACAACCCGUACCGCAAACCGACACAGGUAGUCAAGUGGAGAACACUAAGGUGAGCGAGAGAACUCUCGUUAAGGAACUCGGCAAAAUGACCCCGUAACUUCGGGAGAAGGGGUGCUGACAGCGAUGUCAGCCGCAGUGAAUAGGCCCAGGCGACUGUUUAUCAAAAACACAGGUCUCUGCAAAAUCGAAAGAUGACGUAUAGGGGCUGACGCCUGCCCGGUGCUGGAAGGUUAAGAGGAGUGCUUAGGAGCAAUCCGAAGGUACGAAUUGAAGCCCCAGUAAACGGCGGCCGUAACUAUAACGGUCCUAAGGUAGCGAAAUUCCUUGUCGGGUAAGUUCCGACCCGCACGAAAGGCGUAACGAUCUGGGCACUGUCUCAACGAGAGACUCGGUGAAAUUAUAGUACCUGUGAAGAUGCAGGUUACCCGCGACAGGACGGAAAGACCCCAUGGAGCUUUACUGUAGCUUGAUAUUGAGUGUUUGUAUGGCAUGUACAGGAUAGGUAGGAGCUGAAGAAGUGUGGACGCCAGUCUACACGGAGGCGCUGGUGGGAUACUACCCUUGUGAUGCGGACCCUCUAACCCACGUGUAACAGCACGGGAGACAGUGUCAGGUGGGCAGUUUGACUGGGGCGGUCGCCUCCUAAAGAGUAACGGAGGCGCCCAAAGGUUCCCUCAGAAUGGUUGGAAAUCAUUCGCAGAGUGUAAAGGCAGAAGGGAGCUUGACUGCGAGACCUACAAGUCGAGCAGGGACGAAAGUCGGGCUUAGUGAUCCGGUGGUACCGUAUGGAAGGGCCAUCGCUCAACGGAUAAAAGCUACCCUGGGGAUAACAGGCUUAUCUCCCCCAAGAGUUCACAUCGACGGGGAGGUUUGGCACCUCGAUGUCGGCUCAUCGCAUCCUGGGGCUGAAGUCGGUCCCAAGGGUUGGGCUGUUCGCCCAUUAAAGCGGUACGCGAGCUGGGUUCAGAACGUCGUGAGACAGUUCGGUCCCUAUCCGUCGCGGGCGUAGGAAAUUUGAGAAGAGCUAUCCUUAGUACGAGAGGACCGGGAUGGACGCACCGCUGGUGUACCAGUUGUUCUGCCAAGGGCAUCGCUGGGUAGCUAUGUGCGGGAUGGAUAAGCGCUGAAAGCAUCUAAGCGUGAAGCCAGCUUCAAGAUGAGAUUUCCCAUUCGAAAGAAGUAAGACCCCUGAGAGACGAUCAGGUAGAUAGGCUAGAAGUGGAAGUGGAGUGAUCCAUGGAGCGGACUAGUACUAAUCGGUCGAGGUCUUAACCACAA